This 2914-nucleotide ribosomal RNA is filed under the name Providencia stuartii. Its description in RNAcentral is "23S ribosomal RNA". It matches the Rfam family "Bacterial large subunit ribosomal RNA". The record is from RNAcentral. Lineage: Bacteria; Pseudomonadati; Pseudomonadota; Gammaproteobacteria; Enterobacterales; Morganellaceae.
GGUUAAGCGACUAAGCGUACACGGUGGAUGCCUAGGCAAUCAGAGGCGAUGAAGGACGUGCUAAUCUGCGAAAAGCGUCGGUAAGGUGAUAUGAACCGUUAUAACCGACGAUGUCCGAAUGGGGAAACCCAGUGCAAUUCGUUGCACUAUCGUUUGAUGAAUCCAUAGUCAAACGAGGCGAACCGGGGGGAACUGAAACAUCUCAGUACCCCGAGGAAAAGAAAUCAACCGAGAUUCCCCUAGUAGCGGCGAGCGAACGGGGAGCAGCCCAGAGUCUUAAUCAGCAUCAGCAUCAGGAGAACGGUCUGGAAAGGCCGGCAAUAAAGGGUGAUAGCCCCGUAUCCGAAGGUGUUGGUGUUGUGAACUCGACGAGUAGGGCGGGACACGUGUUAUCCUGUCUGAAUAUGGGGGGGACCAUCCUCCAAGGCUAAAUACUCCUGAUUGACCGAUAGUGAACCAGUACCGUGAGGGAAAGGCGAAAAGAACCCCGGCGAGGGGAGUGAAAUAGAACCUGAAACCGUGUACGUACAAGCAGUGGGAGCCUUGAUUUAUCAGGGUGACUGCGUACCUUUUGUAUAAUGGGUCAGCGACUUAUAUUCUGUAGCAAGGUUAACCGAAUAGGGGAGCCGUAGGGAAACCGAGUCUUAACUGGGCGAAUGAGUUGCAGGGUAUAGACCCGAAACCCGGUGAUCUAGCCAUGGGCAGGUUGAAGGUUGGGUAACACUAACUGGAGGACCGAACCGACUAAUGUUGAAAAAUUAGCGGAUGACUUGUGGCUGGGGGGUGAAAGGCCAAUCAAACCGGGAGAUAGCUGGUUCUCCCCCGAAAGCUAUUUAGGUAGCGCCUCGUGAACUCAUCUUCGGGGGUAGAGCACUGUUUCGGCUAGGGGGUCAUCCCGACUUACCAACCCGAUGCAAACUACGAAUACCGAAGAAUGUUAUCACGGGAGACACACGGCGGGUGCUAACGUUCGUCGUGAAGAGGGAAACAACCCAGACCGCCAGCUAAGGUCCCAAAGUCAUGGUUAAGUGGGAAACGAAGUGGGAAGGCUCAGACAGCCAGGAUGUUGGCUUAGAAGCAGCCAUCAUUUAAAGAAAGCGUAAUAGCUCACUGGUCGAGUCGGCCUGCGCGGAAGAUGUAACGGGGCUAAACCAUGCACCGAAGCUGCGGCAGCGACAUGUAAAUGUUGUUGGGUAGGGGAGCGUUCUGUAAGCCUGUGAAGGUGUGCUGCGAGGCAUGCUGGAGGUAUCAGAAGUGCGAAUGCUGACAUAAGUAACGAUAAUGCGGGUGAAAAACCCGCACGCCGGAAGACCAAGGGUUCCUGUCCAACGUUAAUCGGGGCAGGGUGAGUCGACCCCUAAGGCGAGGCAGAAAUGCGUAGUCGAUGGGAAACAGGUUAAUAUUCCUGUACUGGUGAUAAUUGCGAUGGGGGGGACGGAGAAGGCUAGGCUGGCCGGGCGACGGUUGUCCCGGUUUAAGGAUGUAGGUGGGUGAAUUAGGCAAAUCCGGUUCGCUAUACACUGAGGUCUGAUGACGAGUCACUACGGUGGCGAAGUAGCUCAUGCCCCGCUUCCAGGAAAAGCCUCUAAGCUCUAGAUUAUCAUUAAUCGUACCCCAAACCGACACAGGUGGUCAGGUAGAGAAUACUCAGGCGCUUGAGAGAACUCGGGUGAAGGAACUAGGCAAAAUGGUGCCGUAACUUCGGGAGAAGGCACGCUGGCACUAGGUGAAGUGGUUUACCCAUGGAGCUGAAGCCAGUCGCAGAUACCAGCUGGCUGCAACUGUUUAUUAAAAACACAGCACUGUGCAAACACGAAAGUGGACGUAUACGGUGUGACGCCUGCCCGGUGCUGGAAGGUUAAUUGAUGGGGUUAUCCGUAAGGAGAAGCUCUUGAUCGAAGCCCCAGUAAACGGCGGCCGUAACUAUAACGGUCCUAAGGUAGCGAAAUUCCUUGUCGGGUAAGUUCCGACCUGCACGAAUGGCGUAAUGAUGGCCAGGCUGUCUCCACCCGAGACUCAGUGAAAUUGAACUCGCUGUGAAGAUGCAGUGUACCCGCGGCAAGACGGAAAGACCCCGUGAACCUUUACUAUAGCUUGACACUGAACAUUGAGCCUUGAUGUGUAGGAUAGGUGGGAGGCUUUGAAGUGUGGACGCCAGUCUGCAUGGAGCCAACCUUGAAAUACCACCCUUUAAUGUUUGAUGUUCUAACGUUGCCCCGUGAACCGGGGUGCGGACAGUGUCUGGUGGGUAGUUUGACUGGGGCGGUCUCCUCCCAAAGCGUAACGGAGGAGCACGAAGGUUGGCUAAGCAUGGUCGGACAUCAUGCGGUUAGUGCAAAGGCAUAAGCCAGCUUGACUGCGAGAGUGACGGCUCGAGCAGGUACGAAAGUAGGUCUUAGUGAUCCGGUGGUUCUGAAUGGAAGGGCCAUCGCUCAACGGAUAAAAGGUACUCCGGGGAUAACAGGCUGAUACCGCCCAAGAGUUCAUAUCGACGGCGGUGUUUGGCACCUCGAUGUCGGCUCAUCACAUCCUGGGGCUGAAGUAGGUCCCAAGGGUAUGGCUGUUCGCCAUUUAAAGUGGUACGCGAGCUGGGUUUAGAACGUCGUGAGACAGUUCGGUCCCUAUCUGCCGUGGGCGUUGGAAGAUUGAAAGGGGCUGCUCCUAGUACGAGAGGACCGGAGUGGACGCACCGCUGGUGUUCGGGUUGUCAUGCCAAUGGCACUGCCCGGUAGCUAAGUGCGGAAGAGAUAACCGCUGAAAGCAUCUAAGCGGGAAACUUGCCUUGAGAUGAGUCUUCCCUGACUCUUUAAGGGUCCUAAAGGAACGUUUAAGACGAAGACGUUGAUAGGCUGGGUGUGUAAGCGUAGCGAUACGUUGAGCUAACCAGUACUAAUGAACCGUGAGGCUUAACCUG